Molecule: ribosomal RNA, 254 nt
Filed under: uncultured bacterium
Lineage: Bacteria
Description: partial 16S ribosomal RNA
Rfam family: Bacterial small subunit ribosomal RNA
Source: RNAcentral
UACAGAGGUCCCGAGCGUUGUUCGGAUUUACUGGGCGUAAAGGGCGCGUAGGCGGCCACCGCAAGUCAAUUGUGAAAUCUCCGGGCUUAACUCGGAAAGGUCAACUGAUACUGCGGGGCUAGAGUGCGGAAGGGGCAACUGGAAUUCUCGGUGUAGCGGUGAAAUGCGUAGAUAUCGAGAGGAACACCUGCGGCGAAGGCGGGUUGCUGGGCCGACACUGACGCUGAGGCGCGAAAGCCAGGGGAGCGAACGGG